CCUACGUGUGGCUGCAGUGGGGAAUAUUGCACAAUGGGGGAAACCCUGAUGCAGCGCCGCCGCGUGAGUGAAGAAGUAUUUCGGUAUGUCAAGCUCUAUCAGCAGGGAAGAGAAAGGACGGUACGUGACUAAGAAGCACCGGCUAACUACGUGCCAGCAGCCGCGGUAAUACGUAGGGGGCAAGCGUUAUCCGGAUUUACUGGGGGUAAAGGGAGCGUAGACGGUAGAGCAAGUCUGAAGUGAAAGCACAGGGCGUAACCCUGGGACUGCUUUGGAAACUGUUAGACUAGUGUGCUGGAGAGGUAAGUGGAAUUCCUAGUGUAGCGGUGAAAUGCGUAGAUAUUAGGAGGAACACCAGUGGCGAAGGCGGCUUACUGGACAGUAACUGACGUUGAGGCUCGAAAGCGUGGGGAGCAAACAGGAUUAGAUACCCCGGUAGUC
This 441-nucleotide ribosomal RNA is filed under the name uncultured bacterium. RNAcentral's name for it is "partial 16S ribosomal RNA". It matches the Rfam family "Bacterial small subunit ribosomal RNA", at positions 338 to 795 of the family's 1533-position model. The record is from RNAcentral.